UACGAAGGGGGCUAGCGUUGCUCGGAAUCACUGGGCGUAAAGCGCACGUAGGCGGCUUCUUAAGUCAGGGGUGAAAUCCUGGAGCUCAACUCCAGAACUGCCUUUGAUACUGGGAAGCUUGAGUCCGGGAGAGGUGAGUGGAACUGCGAGUGUAGAGGUGAAAUUCGUAGAUAUUCGCAAGAACACCAGUGGCGAAGGCGGCUCACUGGCCCGGUACUGACGCUGAGGAGCGAAAGCGUGGGUAGCAAACAGG
Molecule: ribosomal RNA, 253 nt
Filed under: uncultured bacterium
Lineage: Bacteria
Description: partial 16S ribosomal RNA
Rfam family: Bacterial small subunit ribosomal RNA
Source: RNAcentral